Molecule: ribosomal RNA, 253 nt
Filed under: uncultured bacterium
Lineage: Bacteria
Description: partial 16S ribosomal RNA
Rfam family: Bacterial small subunit ribosomal RNA
Source: RNAcentral
UACGAAGGGGGCGAGCGUUGUUCGGAUUUACUGGGCGUAAAGGGCGCGCAGGCGGCUAUCCAAGUCAGGCGUGAAAGCCCCGGGCUUAACCUGGGAGGUGCGUCUGGGACUGGGUGGCUAGAGUUCGGGAGAGGAGAGUGGAAUUCCCAGUGUAGAGGUGAAAUUCGUAGAUAUUGGGAAGAACACCGGUGGCGAAGGCAGAUCUCUGGGCCGUAACUGACGCUGAGGAGCGAAAGCGUGGGGAGCGAACAGG